RNAcentral lists this ribosomal RNA (1894 nucleotides) under metagenome. RNAcentral's name for it is "bacterial LSU rRNA". It matches the Rfam family "Bacterial large subunit ribosomal RNA", at positions 1 to 1974 of the family's 2925-position model. The record is from RNAcentral.
UGAAGUAAGUAAGGGCGUACGGUGAAUGCCUUGGUGCCAACAGGCGAAGAAGGACGCGGCAAGCUGCGAAAAUCCUCGGGAAGCUGCAAGCAAGCGAUGAUCCGGGGGUAUCCGAAUGGGGUAACCUGAUCGAGGCAAUACUCGAUCGUUCAUACCUGAAUACAUAGGGUAUGAAACGCGAAACCCGCUGAAGUGAAACAUCUCAGUAAGCGGAGGAAAAGAAAGAGAAAUCGAUUCCGUAAGUAGUGGCGAGCGAAAGCGGAUGGAGCCCAAACCGAAGGUACUCCUUCGGGGUUGUAGGACCACGACAUAUUCGACCAUACUGGAUAGUAGAACAGCCUGGAAAGGCUGGCCGUAGAAGGUGAAAGCCCUGUAGACGAAAUCCAGCGUGGGAAUUAGUGGAAUCCUGAGUAAUACAUCACACGUGGAACGAUGUAUGAAUCAGCGCGGACCACCGCGCAAGGCUAAAUACUAGUUGGCGACCGAUAGUGAACCAGUACCGUGAGGGAAAGGUGAAAAGAACCGCUGUGAGCGGAGUGAAAUAGAACCUGAAACCGUAUGUCUACAAAGUGUCAGAGCAGAGCAAUCUGCGAUGGCGUGCCUUUUGUUUAAUGAGUCUGCGAGUCAGUGUUUGUGGCAAGACUAAGGGCUUCCGGCCCGGAGUCGCAGCGAAAGCAAGUCCGAAUAGGGCGAAUUAAGUCGCAGGUACUGGACCCGAAGCGGAGGUGACCUACCCUUGGCCAGGUUGAAGCAUGGGUAAAACCAUGUGGAGGACCGAACAGGUGAACGUUGAAAAGUUCUCUGAUGAGCUGAGGGUAGGAGUGAAAGGCUAAUCAAACCCCGUGAUAGCUGGUUCUCUUCGAAAUGCAUUUAGGUGCAGCGUCACGUGCUGAUGCGCGGGGGUAGAGCACUGACAAGGCUAGGGGGCACACCCGCUUACCAAACCUUAUCAAACUCCGAAUACCGUGCAAUGGAACGUGGCAGUGAGACAGUGGGGGAUAAGCUUCAUUGUCGAGAGGGAAACAACCCAGACCAGCAGCUAAGGUGCCUAAAUAACGCUCAGUGGAAAGGAUGUGGGAUUACACAGACAGUGAGGAUGUUGGCUUAGAAGCAGCCACCAUUUAAAAAAUGCGUAAUAGCUUACUCAUCGAGUGAUCCUGCGCCGAAAAUGAUUGGCGAUUAAGCGUUAUACCGAAGCUCUGGACUUUACCUUACGGUAGAGUGGUAGAAGAGCGUUGCAUGCGCGUUGAAGGGUGAUGGCGACUGACCCUGGAGCACAUGCAAGUGAGUAUGCAGACAUGAGUAACGUAAAGCCGGGUGAAAUCCCCGGCCGCCGUAAACCCGAGGUUUCCAGGGCAACGUGUUUCGUCCCUGGGUUAGCCGGGACCUAAGCCGAGGCCGAGAGGCGUAGGCGAUGGAUAUCAGGUUAAUAAUCCUGAGCUCGCGACCCUUAAACUGGGGGGACGCAUGAGAAAAGAUGACUAGGUUAUUGAAUUCCGAGUUGAGUCCACGGACUCAGCGCAUCAUUGGAUCGAGUGCCAAGAAAAGCCCCAGCGUAUGCUAAGCGACCCGUACCGCAAACCGACACAGGUGGGUGGGUAGAAUAUACCAAGGCGUAAGAGUGAAACCUGGUUAAGGAACUCGGCAAAUUAGCCCCGUAACUUCGGAAGAAGGGGUGCCUGCAGCGAUGCAGGCCGCAGAGAAAUGGCCCAACCGACUGUUUAUCAAAAACACAGCACUCUGCAAAGACGCAAGUCGAAGUAUAGGGUGUGACACGUGACCAAUGCCGAAAGAUUAAGGCAAGGGGUUAGCCGCAAGGCGAAGCUCUGAACCCAAGUCCCGGUGAAUGUCGGCCGUAACUAUAACGGUCCUAAGGUAGCGAAAUUCCUUGUCG